ACAUACCAAACAUGAAACAACUUGUGGUUCGAUUAGUGCUGCUUUUAGUUUUAAUUCUCGUGUCUUUCUCUUGCAGUUUUGCUCGAACCAUGGCUGAUCCUAAGGGAAAGAAGGAAGAAUCAUACCACAAUGGAUGUGGACCCUAUGUGAGGACUUGCACUGGAUAUCCACCACCUCCCUGCAACACUCCAAUCUGCGAAUAGAUAUCAUCAAUUAAUAAUAUUAUUAGUAUUAAUUAAUGAAUAAAUUAUUAAUUAUCGCUCUUUGAUUAAGUAUCUGUGAUAUAUAUAUAUAUAUAUAUAUGUAUAUGUUUGUACUUUGUACAAUUGUACUGCUACUAUAGCAAGUAUUAAUAAAUGAAUAAAUUGGCAGAGAGCUCUGCCCUUCUGGGUCA
Neltuma alba is the source of this 394-nucleotide long non-coding RNA. RefSeq lists it as uncharacterized. The transcript is spliced from 2 exons. The record is from RefSeq and is a predicted model, not a curated record. Lineage: Eukaryota; Viridiplantae; Streptophyta; Magnoliopsida; Fabales; Fabaceae.